CCUCAACCAUGGUCUGCCCACCAAAAAUUCAAAUAUGAGUAGAUCAACUUAAAACAUUUAAUGACUUUGAAAAGUUGUUAGGAAACAUAAAUUGGAUGAGGCCUUAUCUAGGCAUACCAACAGGAGAGUUGGGACCUUUAUUUGAUAUCCUAAAAGGUCCAUCAGAUCCAAAUUCACCCCGAAUGUUAACGCCUGAAGCAAGAAAGUCAUUAAAACUCAUUGAAACAUAUAUGAAAAAUAUGCAUUUGGAUAGAAUUGAUACAAGUUUGCCUUUUUUAUUUAUUGUACUACCAACAAAAAAUAUUCCUACAGGAGUAUUUUGGCAAAAAGGUCCAUUAUUAUGGAUACAUUUAUCUUAUUCUCCUAACACUAUUCUUACUAGGUAUCCUGAGGCUGUAGGACAAUUAAUACUCAAAGGAAUAAAAGCAGCAAAGGGAGUGUUUGGAAUUUCUCCCAAUAAAAUUAUUACUCCAUAUAAUGUGGAUCAAAUUCAUGAGUUAGCUAAUGAGUUAAAUACUUGGGCAAUAAUCAUGUGCAAAUCUAAUGUUUCAUUUGAUAACCACUUACCAUCUAAUCCUUUGUUGUCUUUUUGGUCCUCACAUCCUACAGUUUUUCCAAGAAUGACAAGAAAAACACCUAUCAUGAAUGCUCCAAAUAUAUUCACUGAUCGAUCAAGGAAUGGUACAGCAACAGUAGUUACCCCUGAUCAAGGUUUUACAUUUUUAAUACUUGAACAAUCAGCUCAAAAGGUUGAACUUAAUGCAGUAUUAAAAGCUUUUGUGAUGUUUAAAGGUUCCGUAUUUAAUUUAUUUUCUGACAGUUUAUAUAUAGUUAAUGCUAUAAAUUACCUUGAAGAUGCUGGUAGGAUUUCCCCUUCCUUUAUUGUUUUCCAAUAUACAAAGUCUAAUCUGGGACAGAAAAGAUCCAUUCUUUAUAGGAUAUAUCAGGGCACAUACAGGAUUGCCUGGAGCCCUUAGUUUGGGCAAUGAUUUAGCAGAUAAAACAACAUAUGACAUACAUAUAUUUUUCUGUACUAGAAGAAGCUACAAAUUUUCACAAAUCCUUCCAAGUUAAUGCUAAUACUUUAUGAAAGCAUUUAAAAAUAACUAAGGAACAAGCUAGACAUAUAAUAAAACAAUGUCAAAAUUGUGUGACCUUUAUACCACAAGUUAAUCUUGGAAUCAAUCCUAGAGGACUGAUACCUAAUCAUAUCUGGCAAAUGGACGUCACACAUUUGCCAGAAUUUGGAAAAUUAAAAUAUUUACAUGUUUCCAGAUAUUUGAUGGGCUCCCUUCAUGCCAGAGAAAAAACUAAAGAUGUUAUAGCUCAUUGCUUACAAAAUUUUGCCACUGUGGGCAUUCCAAAACAGUUAAAAACAGAUAAUGGCCCUGGCUAUAAUUUUGCUUCUUUUAAACAAUUUUGCCAUAAUUUGACAUUACUCAUAUAACAGGUAUCCUGUAUAAUCCAUAGGGACAAGGCAUAGUUGAAAGAGCCCAUCAAACUAUUAAGAUGUACUUAUUAAAACAAAAAGAGGGAAUUGGGAAAGGAUAUAAAUCCCCCAAAGAUAAAUUUAUCAUAACCCUUUUUAUGUUAAAAUUUUUUAAUUUGGAUUCAUCAGGACUUAGUGCUGCGGAAAGGCACAUGUGUCCAAAAAAUGUACAUAAGCCAAAGGUACUUUGGAAGGAUAUUCUAACUGGACAAUGGAAAGGUUCUGACCCAGUGAUUUUCUGGAGUCAGGGGUCUGUUUGUGUGUUUCCACAGGGAGAACAGCAGCCAAUUUGGAUUCUAGAGAGACUAACUAAAGCGAUUUCUACAGACCAAGAAGAAGAUGAUUUGGCUCAAAAUCCAUAACAGCUGAUAUCCAGAACUCCAGUUUAGCUAUCUUUACAUCUGAAAAAAUGGUUCCCACACCUGGAGGCUAAUGAAUAAUAGCACCAUUAAGGCCUAUUUCAAAUGUAAAAAACCUUGAGGCUUACUUAUGGGAAUACCUUCAAACCCAUAUGCAAGUUACAAGAAGAAGUUUUCU
Molecule: long non-coding RNA, 2026 nt
Filed under: Marmota monax (woodchuck)
Lineage: Eukaryota; Metazoa; Chordata; Mammalia; Rodentia; Sciuridae
Source: RNAcentral